UGCCUACGGGGGGCAGCAGUGGGGAAUAUUGCACAAUGGGGGAAACCCUGAUGCAGCGACGCCGCGUGAGUGAAGAAGUAAUUCGUUAUGUAAAGCUCUAUCAGCAGGGAAGAAAAUGACGGUACCUGAGUAAGAAGCCCCGGCUAACUACGUGCCAGCAGCCGCGGUAAUACGUAGGGGGCAAGCGUUAUCCGGAUUUACUGGGUGUAAAGGGAGCGUAGACGGCAGUGCAGGUCUGGAGUGAAAGGCG
This 250-nucleotide ribosomal RNA is filed under the name uncultured bacterium. Its description in RNAcentral is "partial 16S ribosomal RNA". It matches the Rfam family "Bacterial small subunit ribosomal RNA", at positions 335 to 603 of the family's 1533-position model. The record is from RNAcentral.